This 249-nucleotide ribosomal RNA is filed under the name uncultured bacterium. Its description in RNAcentral is "partial 16S ribosomal RNA". It matches the Rfam family "Bacterial small subunit ribosomal RNA", at positions 524 to 775 of the family's 1533-position model. The record is from RNAcentral.
UACGAACGGUCCAAACGUUAUUCGGAAUCACUGGCUUAAAGCGUCCGUAGGCGGCUCGGAAAGUAGGGUGUGAAAUCCCACGGCUCAACCGUGGAAUUGCGCUCUAAACUAUCGAGCUAGAGGAGAUAGAGGUGAGCGGAACUGAUGGUGGAGCGGUGAAAUGCGUUGAUAUCAUCAGGAACACCGGAGGCGAAGGCGGCUCACUGGGUCUUUUCUGACGCUGAGGGACGAAAGCUAGGGAGCGAACGG